Molecule: transfer RNA, 74 nt
Filed under: Penaeus monodon (black tiger shrimp)
Lineage: Eukaryota; Metazoa; Arthropoda; Malacostraca; Decapoda; Penaeidae
Description: tRNA-Lys
Rfam family: tRNA
About the family: Transfer RNA (tRNA) molecules are approximately 80 nucleotides in length. Their secondary structure includes four short double-helical elements and three loops (D, anti-codon, and T loops).
Source: RNAcentral
GCCCGGAUAGCUCAGUCGGUAGAGCAGUAGGCUUUUAACCAAAGGGGUCCAGGGUUCAAGUCCCUGUUCGGGCG